Molecule: non-coding RNA, 119 nt
Filed under: bovine gut metagenome
Description: Moco (molybdenum cofactor) riboswitch
Rfam family: Molybdenum/Tungsten riboswitch aptamer (Moco RNA motif)
Source: RNAcentral
CUGUCUUCGAGCCCCUCCUCCUGUGGCAUUGCUAUGGAGCCCGGGCCGCACCGGAUAUCCCGGUUCAGGGCACAGCCGGAAACAGCUGUACCUUCCGCUUUUGAAAAGGAGACAUGGCA